This 253-nucleotide ribosomal RNA is filed under the name uncultured bacterium. Its description in RNAcentral is "partial 16S ribosomal RNA". It matches the Rfam family "Bacterial small subunit ribosomal RNA", at positions 524 to 776 of the family's 1533-position model. The record is from RNAcentral.
UACAGAGGGUGCGAGCGUUAAUCGGAAUUACUGGGCGUAAAGCGCGCGUAGGCGGUUUUGUAAGUCGGGUGUGAAAUCCCCAAGCUUAACUUGGGAACUGCAUUCGAGACUGCAUAGCUAGAGUAUGGGAGAGGGAAGUGGAAUUUCAGGUGUAGCGGUGAAAUGCGUAGAUAUCUGAAGGAACAUCAGUGGCGAAAGCGACUUCCUGGACCAAUACUGACGCUCAUGUGCGAAAGCCAGGGGAGCAAACGGG